AAUGAUGGAAUGACUCUCGGCAACGGAUAUCUCGGCUCUCGCAUCGAUGAAGAACGUAGCGAAAUGCGAUACGUGGUGUGAAUUGCAGAAUCCCGUGAACCAUCGAGUUUUUGAACGCAAGUUGCGCCCGAGGCCAUUCGGCCGAGGGCACGCCUGCCUGGGCGUCAGUU
RNAcentral lists this ribosomal RNA (170 nucleotides) under Juncus acutus. RNAcentral's name for it is "5.8S ribosomal RNA". It matches the Rfam family "5.8S ribosomal RNA". From Rfam's summary of the family: 5.8S ribosomal RNA (5.8S rRNA) is a component of the large subunit of the eukaryotic ribosome. It is transcribed by RNA polymerase I as part of the 45S precursor that also contains 18S and 28S rRNA. Lineage: Eukaryota; Viridiplantae; Streptophyta; Magnoliopsida; Poales; Juncaceae. The record is from RNAcentral.